Molecule: long non-coding RNA, 549 nt
Organism: Mugil cephalus (flathead mullet)
Lineage: Eukaryota; Metazoa; Chordata; Actinopteri; Mugiliformes; Mugilidae
Exons: 4
Source: RefSeq, a predicted model, not a curated record
AAACCAGAGGAGAGCUGUGUUUACUCUGCUGUGAAGACUGGAUCAUCUCCAGAUGACGGUCUGAUGUAUGAACAGGUUCUCUUCCAUAAGAAAGGUAAAGCCAAGAGAGACAAAGGACAAUCAGCUCCUGCAGCAGCUGAAGAAACAUUUUAUUCUGAAAUCAAACCAGGAACAUCUCAUGGUCAAUAAAGAUCUGUAUCAACAAAACCAUCUGAAUAGAUCAUAAAAGUGAAGCUACUCACAUGAAUAGCAGAUAUUUAAAGACAUAAACCAGCUGAAUGUGCUGCUUUUAGUGCAGAUGUAUUUUAUAAAAAGCUUCAGUUUGUAUGAAUGUAGUGAUCGUGUGGCUUUAAUAUCAGCAUCUUUUUCACUUCUUCAUGUUCUGUCAUCAAACAUCAUUCUGUUACAUGUCCACUUAAAGAAGCUAACUAUGUUGAGAAGAACUGAUAGUAUAACAAGUAUUUUAUGUUUCCCUGAACUGAUUAAGUAUAUUGUAAAAAGCUUGGCCUUUUCUAACAAUGUUAUGCAUCAAUAAACUUUUUAAUUUUU